Molecule: ribosomal RNA, 3546 nt
Filed under: Campylobacter gracilis
Lineage: Bacteria; Pseudomonadati; Campylobacterota; Epsilonproteobacteria; Campylobacterales; Campylobacteraceae
Description: bacterial LSU rRNA
Rfam family: Bacterial large subunit ribosomal RNA
Source: RNAcentral
GUAAGCUACUAAGAGCGAACGGUGGAUGCCUUGGCUAGUAGAGGCGAUGAAAGACGUGCCAGACUGCGAUAAGUCUCGGGGAGCCGUCAAGGGGCUUUGAUCCGGGAAUUUCUGAAUGGGGCAACCCAAUACAUAGCGAUAUGUGUUACCAUUAAUGGAGCCAACGCGGGGAACUGAAACAUCUAAGUACCCGCAGGAAGAGAAAUCAAUAGAGAUUACGCUAGUAGCGGCGAGCGAACGCGUAAGAGGGCAAACCACUAGUUUACUAGUGGGGUUGUAGGACCGCAACAUAGACUAGGAUCUGAUAAUAGAACAAUCUGGAAAGGUUGGGCAUAGAGGGUGAUACUCCCGUAUAUGAAAUCACAUCCUUACUUAGCGGUAUCCUGAGUAGGACGGGACACGUGAAAUCCUGUCUGAAGCCGGGUCGACCACGAUCCAACCCUAAAUACUACUACUAGACCGAUAGCGUACAAGUACCGUGAGGGAAAGGUGAAAAGAACGGCGGUGAGCCGAGUGAAAUAGAACCUGAAACCGUUUGCUUACAAUCAUUCAGAGCACUAUGUGGGUCUGUUUGAAUAUUAAAGACGGCUUGUCUUUUGGCGAUAAAUUAAUGAGUUCGAUUUUUUCUCAAUCGAUAGGCUAAAAGCCUUAUCUCAAUCGAAAAAAUCUUCACAACAUUAAUUUCUCAUCCAAAAUACCGCGCCUUUGGGCGGGUAUAUCUUGUUUUUAUAAAUUCUAUGCGGAUGAAAUUUUAAAAGUAAAGAGAGAUAGAACUUUUAAAAUCAAAAUUUCAAACCGUAGAUUAAAUUUAAAUAGAUCAAAUUUAAAAUUUAAAUCAAACAAGAUAAGGCGAUCCAAGAUUAGUAUUGAAACAGAUCCACAGUGUGAUGGACUGCCUUUUGCAUAAUGAGCCUGCGAGUUGUGGUGUCUGGCGAGGUUAAGGAAACCCGGAGCCGUAGCGAAAGCGAGUCUUAAUAGGGCGAUUAGUCAGAUGCUGCAGACCCGAAACGAUGUGAUCUAUCCAUGAGCAGGUUGAAGCCGGUGUAAGAGCCGGUGGAGGACCCAACCGACGGCCGUUGAAAAGGCUCCGGAUGACUUGUGGAUAGGGGUGAAAGGCCAAUCAAACAUCGUGAUAGCUGGUUCUCUCCGAAAUAUAUUGAGGUAUAGCGUCGUGUAGUAGUUAUAAGGGGUAGAGCACUGAAUGGGCUAGGGCAUACACCAAUGUACCAAACCCUAUCAAACUCCGAAUACUUAUAGCGUAACCACGGCAGUCAGGCGGCGAGUGAUAAAAUCCGUCGUCAAGAGGGAAACAACCCGGACUAACAGCUAAGGUCCCCAAAUCUCAUUUAAGUGGAAAACGAUGUGAAGUUACUGAAACAACCAGGAGGUUGGCUUAGAAGCAGCCAUCCUUUAAAGAUAGCGUAAUAGCUCACUGGUCUAGUGAUUUUGCGCGGAAAAUAUAACGGGGCUAAAAUGAGUACCGAAGCUUUAGACUUGCACUUAAUCAUUUAUACUAGCUCGUCUUUUGGCGAUAAAUUAAUGAGUUCGAUUUUUUCUCAAUCGAUAGGCUAAAAGCCUUAUCUCAAUCGAAAAAAUCUUCACAACAUUAAUUUCUCGUCCAAAAUACUUCGCUUUCUAUAUUCAAAUUUUAAAGAUUUCGAACUUUGUUGAUUUUAAAAUUUCUUAGAAUUUUAAAAUCCCAAUUUUGAUAUUUAAAAUUGAACAACCAAGAGGCGAAGAAAGAUAAGCACAACUUUAAGACAUCGGAUAAAUUCUUAAAUAUCUUAAGUUUUAAAUUUGAACAAAGCCGCAAGAAAAGUAUAAAUCAUUAAGUGCAAGUGGUAGGAGAGCGUUCCAAUCAGCGUCGAAGCCGUACCGGUAAGGAGCGGUGGAGCGGUUGGAAGUGAGCAUGCAGGCAUGAGUAGCGAUAAAAUACGUGAGAAUCGUAUUCGCCGUAAACCCAAGGUUUCCUACGCGAUGCUCGUCAUCGUAGGGUUAGUCGGGUCCUAAGCAAAGUCCGAAAGGGGUAUGCGAUGGAAAAUCGGUUAAUAUUCCGAUACCGAUAUCAGUGUGCGACGGAAGGACGCUUAAAGUUAGUGGAGCUAGCGGAUGGAAGUGCUAGUCUAAGGAAGUAGGUUGAGUUAUAGGCAAAUCCGUAACUCUUUAUCCGAGAUCUGAAAGGCUUCUGACGCUCUUCGGAGUAGAUGAAGAAUCCAUGAUACUAUCGAGCCGAGAAAAGUUUCUAAGUUUAGCUGAUAUCGCCCGUACCGUAAACCGACACAGGUGGGUGGGAUGAGUAUUCUAAGGCGCGUGGAAGAACUCUCUUUAAGGAACUCUGCAAAAUAGCACCGUAUCUUCGGUAUAAGGUGUGCCUAGCUUCGUUAAGAAUUUACUUCGUAAGCGAAGAAGGUUACAACAAAGAGUCCCUCCCGACUGUUUACCAUAAACACAGCACUCUGCUAACUCGUAAGAGGAUGUAUAGGGUGUGACGCCUGCCCGGUGCUCGAAGGUUAAUUGAUGAUGUUAGCUUACGCAAAGCAUCUGAUCGAAGCCCGAGUAAACGGCGGCCGUAACUAUAACGGUCCUAAGGUAGCGAAAUUCCUUGUCGGUUAAAUACCGACCUGCAUGAAUGGCGUAACGAGAUGGGAGCUGUCUCAAAGAGGGAUCCAGUGAAAUUGUAGUGGAGGUGAAAAUUCCUCCUACCCGCGGCAAGACGGAAAGACCCCGUGGACCUUUACUAUAGCUUGACACUGCUACUUGGAUAAAGAUGCGCAGGAUAGGUGGGAGGCUUUGAGUCGUAGAUCUCGGUUUACGAUGAGCCAUUGUUGAGAUACCACUCUUCUUUAUUCGGGUAGCUAACUAGCCUAAGUUAUCCUUAGGUAGGACAAUGUCUGGUGGGUAGUUUGACUGGGGCGGUCGCCUCCCAAAAUGUAACGGAGGCUUACAAAGGUUGGCUCAAAGCGGUUGGAAAUCGCUUGCAGAGUAUAAAGGCAAAAGCCAGCUUAACUGCGAGACAUACACGUCGAGCAGAGACGAAAGUCGGUCUUAGUGAUCCGGUGGUUCUGUGUGGAAGGGCCAUCGCUCAAAGGAUAAAAGGUACCCCGGGGAUAACAGGCUGAUCUCCCCCAAGAGCUCACAUCGACGGGGAGGUUUGGCACCUCGAUGUCGGCUCAUCGCAUCCUGGGGCUGGAGCAGGUCCCAAGGGUAUGGCUGUUCGCCAUUUAAAGCGGUACGCGAGCUGGGUUCAGAACGUCGUGAGACAGUUCGGUCCCUAUCUGCCGUGGGCGUAAGAAGAUUGAGGAGAGUUGACCCUAGUACGAGAGGACCGGGUUGAACCGACCACUGGUGUACCGGUUGUUCUGCCAAGAGCACCGCCGGGUAGCUAAGUCGGGAUGCGAUAAGAGCUGAAAGCAUCUAAGCUCGAAGCCGACUCCAAGAUGAAUCUUCUUUUAAGAGCUCUAGUAGACUACUAGUUUGAUAGGCCGGAUGUGUAAUGGAUGAAAGUCCUUUAGCUGACCGGUACUAAUAGCUCGUUUGCUUAUCUUU